This is a non-coding RNA of Pelobates cultripes (western spadefoot toad), 300 nucleotides long. The record is from the annotation of a GenBank genome assembly. Lineage: Eukaryota; Metazoa; Chordata; Amphibia; Anura; Pelobatidae.
GCCAUUUGCACUCCCGCCUAGGAAGAUCAGGAGAACCUACCUCUCCCAGAUCUGUUAGAGCAGGAGGAGCAGAAGGAGCCCUCCCAGGGGGUUCAGCUGAGGGAGCGGCUAAGUCCUCAAGAGCGCACCCAAGUACAGGAACUGAUAGCGGCGAAGGGCGCCACCUUUUCUAACUUACCUGGGUACAGUCCACUGGCCACUCACCGAGUAGAAACCCCGGGACAGCUUCCUAUGCGACAGACCCCAUAUCGGAUUCCCGAAUCCAUACGGGAGCAUAUGAGGAAAGAGAUUGAGGAGAUG